AAAUCUGGUUGAUCCUGCCAGAGGCGACCGCUUUUGGAGUUCGAUUAAGCCAUGCGAGUCGAGAGCUUUCGGAGCUCGGCAUACUGCUCAGUAACACGUGGAUAACCUGCCCUAUCGUCUGGAAUAACCUCGGGAAACUGAGAACAAUGCCGGAUAGCCCACAAUGCCUGGAACGGUUUGUGGGUGAAGAUAGGAUGGGUCUGCGGCGUAUCAGGUCGUAGGGGGUGUAAUGGACCUCCUAGCCAUCGACGCGUACGGGUUGUGGGAGCAAUAGCCCGGAGACGGAUUCUGAGACACGAAUCCGGACCCUACGGGGUGCAGCAGGCGCGAAAACUUCACACUGCAGGAAACUGUGAUGAGGGAACUCCAAGUGACUGCCCAAUGGGUAGCCUUUUCUUGAAUCUUAAUAGUUCUUGGAAUAAGGGCUGGGAAAGACCGGUGCCAGCCGCCGCGGUAAUACCGGCAGCUCAAGUGGUCGUCGCUUUUAUUGGGC
RNAcentral lists this ribosomal RNA (493 nucleotides) under Methanobacteriota archaeon. RNAcentral's name for it is "bacterial SSU rRNA". It matches the Rfam family "Archaeal small subunit ribosomal RNA", at positions 1 to 509 of the family's 1478-position model. The record is from RNAcentral. Lineage: Archaea; Methanobacteriati; Methanobacteriota.